UACAGAGGUCUCAAGCGUUGUUCGGAUUCAUUGGGCGUAAAGGGUGCGUAGGCGGCGCCGUAAGUCAGGUGUGAAAUUUCGGAGCUUAACUCCGAAACUGCAUUUGAUACUGCGGUGCUUGAGGACUGGAGAGGAGACUGGAGUUUACGGUGUAGCAGUGAAAUGCGUAGAGAUCGUAAGGAAGACCAGUGGCGAAGGCGGGUCUCUGGACAGUUCCUGACGCUGAGGCACGAAGGCCAGGGGAGCAAACGGG
This 253-nucleotide ribosomal RNA is filed under the name uncultured bacterium. RNAcentral's name for it is "partial 16S ribosomal RNA". It matches the Rfam family "Bacterial small subunit ribosomal RNA", at positions 524 to 776 of the family's 1533-position model. The record is from RNAcentral.